AUUCGCUUAGUUGGUCUACUUUAAAAGGCCACUUGAACUCGCUUUCCAUGGCGAUUUGCCUUGUGAGCACUUUCAGGAGAGCCUGGAAGCUGAAAAACGGCGGCGGAAGGUGAUCGAAUUCCGGUGAUGCGAGUUGUUCUCCGUCUAUAAAUACGCCUCGCCCGAGCUGUGCGGUAGGCAUUGAGGCAGCCAGCGCAGGGGCUUCUGCUGAGGGGGCAGGCGGAGCUUGAGGAAACCGCAGAUAAGUUUUUUUCUCUUUGAAAGAUAGAGAUUAAUACAACUACUUAAAAAAUAUAGUCAAUAGGUUACUAAGAUAUUGCUUAGCGUUAAGUUUUUAACGUAAUUUUAAUAGCUUAAGAUUUUAAGAGAAAAUAUGAAGACUUAGAAGAGUAGCAUGAGGAAGGAAAAGAUAAAAGGUUUCUAAAACAUGACGGAGGUUGAGAUGAAGCUUCUUCAUGGAGUAAAAAAUGUAUUUAAAAGAAAAUUGAGAGAAAGGACUACAGAGCCCCGAAUUAAUACCAAUAGAAGGGCAAUGCUUUUAGAUUAAAAUGAAGGUGACUUAAACAGCUUAAAGUUUAGUUUAAAAGUUGUAGGUGAUUAAAAUAAUUUGAAGGCGAUCUUUUAAAAAGAGAUUAAACCGAAGGUGAUUAAAAGACCUUGAAAUCCAUGACGCAGGGAGAAUUGCGUCAUUUAAAGCCUAGUUAACGCAUUUACUAAACGCAGACGAAAAUGGAAAGAUUAAUUGGGAGUGGUAGGAUGAAACAAUUUGGAGAAGAUAGAAGUUUGAAGUGGAAAACUGGAAGACAGAAGUACGGGAAGGCGAAGAAAAGAAUAGAGAAGAUAGGGAAAUUAGAAGAUAAAAACAUACUUUUAGAAGAAAAAAGAUAAAUUUAAACCUGAAAAGUAGGAAGCAGAAGAAAAAAGACAAGCUAGGAAACAAAAAGCUAAGGGCAAAAUGUACAAACUUAGAAGAAAAUUGGAAGAUAGAAACAAGAUAGAAAAUGAAAAUAUUGUCAAGAGUUUCAGAUAGAAAAUGAAAAACAAGCUAAGACAAGUAUUGGAGAAGUAUAGAAGAUAGAAAAAUAUAAAGCCAAAAAUUGGAUAAAAUAGCACUGAAAAAAUGAGGAAAUUAUUGGUAACCAAUUUAUUUUAAAAGCCCAUCAAUUUAAUUUCUGGUGGUGCAGAAGUUAGAAGGUAAAGCUUGAGAAGAUGAGGGUGUUUACGUAGACCAGAACCAAUUUAGAAGAAUACUUGAAGCUAGAAGGGGAAGUUGGUUAAAAAUCACAUCAAAAAGCUACUAAAAGGACUGGUGUAAUUUAAAAAAAACUAAGGCAGAAGGCUUUUGGAAGAGUUAGAAGAAUUUGGAAGGCCUUAAAUAUAGUAGCUUAGUUUGAAAAAUGUGAAGGACUUUCGUAACGGAAGUAAUUCAAGAUCAAGAGUAAUUACCAACUUAAUGUUUUUGCAUUGGACUUUGAGUUAAGAUUAUUUUUUAAAUCCUGAGGACUAGCAUUAAUUGACAGCUGACCCAGGUGCUACACAGAAGUGGAUUCAGUGAAUCUAGGAAGACAGCAGCAGACAGGAUUCCAGGAACCAGUGUUUGAUGAAGCUAGGACUGAGGAGCAAGCGAGCAAGCAGCAGUUCGUGGUGAAGAUAGGAAAAGAGUCCAGGAGCCAGUGCGAUUUGGUGAAGGAAGCUAGGAAGAAGGAAGGAGCGCUAACGAUUUGGUGGUGAAGCUAGGAAAAAGGAUUCCAGGAAGGAGCGAGUGCAAUUUGGUGAUGAAGGUAGCAGGCGGCUUGGCUUGGCAACCACACGGAGGAGGCGAGCAGGCGUUGUGCGUAGAGGAUCCUAGACCAGCAUGCCAGUGUGCCAAGGCCACAGGGAAAGCGAGUGGUUGGUAAAAAUCCGUGAGGUCGGCAAUAUGUUGUUUUUCUGGAACUUACUUAUGGUAACCUUUUAUUUAUUUUCUAAUAUAAUGGGGGAGUUUCGUACUGAGGUGUAAAGGGAUUUAUAUGGGGACGUAGGCCGAUUUCCGGGUGUUGUAGGUUUCUCUUUUUCAGGCUUAUACUCAUGAAUCUUGUCUGAAGCUUUUGAGGGCAGACUGCCAAGUCCUGGAGAAAUAGUAGAUGGCAAGUUUGUGGGUUUUUUUUUUUUACACGAAUUUGAGGAAAACCAAAUGAAUUUGAUAGCCAAAUUGAGACAAUUUCAGCAAAUCUGUAAGCAGUUUGUAUGUUUAGUUGGGGUAAUGAAGUAUUUCAGUUUUGUGAAUAGAUGACCUGUUUUUACUUCCUCACCCUGAAUUCGUUUUGUAAAUGUAGAGUUUGGAUGUGUAACUGAGGCGGGGGGGAGUUUUCAGUAUUUUUUUUUGUGGGGGUGGGGGCAAAAUAUGUUUUCAGUUCUUUUUCCCUUAGGUCUGUCUAGAAUCCUAAAGGCAAAUGACUCAAGGUGUAACAGAAAACAAGAAAAUCCAAUAUCAGGAUAAUCAGACCACCACAGGUUUACAGUUUAUAGAAACUAGAGCAGUUCUCACGUUGAGGUCUGUGGAAGAGAUGUCCAUUGGAGAAAUGGCUGGUAGUUACUCUUUUUUCCCCCCACCCCCUUAAUCAGACUUUAAAAGUGCUUAACCCCUUAAACUUGUUAUUUUUUACUUGAAGCAUUUUGGGAUGGUCUUAACAGGGAAGAGAGAGGGUGGGGGAGAAAAUGUUUUUUUCUAAGAUUUUCCACAGAUGCUAUAGUACUAUUGACAAACUGGGUUAGAGAAGGAGUGUACCGCUGUGCUGUUGGCACGAACACCUUCAGGGACUGGAGCUGCUUUUAUCCUUGGAAGAGUAUUCCCAGUUGAAGCUGAAAAGUACAGCACAGUGCAGCUUUGGUUCAUAUUCAGUCAUCUCAGGAGAACUUCAGAAGAGCUUGAGUAGGCCAAAUGUUGAAGUUAAGUUUUCCAAUAAUGUGACUUCUUAAAAGUUUUAUUAAAGGGGAGGGGCAAAUAUUGGCAAUUAGUUGGCAGUGGCCUGUUACGGUUGGGAUUGGUGGGGUGGGUUUAGGUAAUUGUUUAGUUUAUGAUUGCAGAUAAACUCAUGCCAGAGAACUUAAAGUCUUAGAAUGGAAAAAGUAAAGAAAUAUCAACUUCCAAGUUGGCAAGUAACUCCCAAUGAUUUAGUUUUUUUCCCCCCAGUUUGAAUUGGGAAGCUGGGGGAAGUUAAAUAUGAGCCACUGGGUGUACCAGUGCAUUAAUUUGGGCAAGGAAAGUGUCAUAAUUUGAUACUGUAUCUGUUUUCCUUCAAAGUAUAGAGCUUUUGGGGAAGGAAAGUUUUUUUUUUUUCUAUAGACUUUUUUCAGAUAACAUCUUCUGAGUCAUAACCAGCCUGGCAGUAUGAUGGCCUAGAUGCAGAGAAAACAGCUCCUUGGUGAAUUGAUAAGUAAAGGCAGAAAAGAUUAUAUGUCAUACCUCCAUUGGGGAAUAAGCAUAACCCUGAGAUUCUUACUACUGAUGAGAACAUUAUCUGCAUAUGCCAAAAAAUUUUAAGCAAAUGAAAGCUACCAAUUUAAAGUUACGGAAUCUACCAUUUUAAAGUUAAUUGCUUGUCAAGCUAUAACCACAAAAAUAAUGAAUUGAUGAGAAAUACAAUGAAGAGGCAAUGUCCAUCUCAAAAUACUGCUUUUACAAAAGCAGAAUAAAAGCGAAAAGAAAUGAAAAUGUUACACUACAUUAAUCCUGGAAUAAAAGAAGCCGAAAUAAAUGAGAGAUGAGUUGGGAUCAAGUGGAUUGAGGAGGCUGUGCUGUGUGCCAAUGUUUCGUUUGCCUCAGACAGGUAUCUCUUCGUUAUCAGAAGAGUUGCUUCAUUUCAUCUGGGAGCAGAAAACAGCAGGCAGCUGUUAACAGAUAAGUUUAACUUGCAUCUGCAGUAUUGCAUGUUAGGGAUAAGUGCUUAUUUUUAAGAGCUGUGGAGUUCUUAAAUAUCAACCAUGGCACUUUCUCCUGACCCCUUCCCUAGGGGAUUUCAGGAUUGAGAAAUUUUUCCAUCGAGCCUUUUUAAAAUUGUAGGACUUGUUCCUGUGGGCUUCAGUGAUGGGAUAGUACACUUCACUCAGAGGCAUUUGCAUCUUUAAAUAAUUUCUUAAAAGCCUCUAAAGUGAUCAGUGCCUUGAUGCCAACUAAGGAAAUUUGUUUAGCAUUGAAUCUCUGAAGGCUCUAUGAAAGGAAUAGCAUGAUGUGCUGUUAGAAUCAGAUGUUACUGCUAAAAUUUACAUGUUGUGAUGUAAAUUGUGUAGAAAACCAUUAAAUCAUUCAAAAUAAUAAACUAUUUUUAUUAGAGAAUGUAUACUUUUAGAAAGCUGUCUCCUUAUUUAAAUAAAAUAGUGUUUGUCUGUAGUUCAGUGUUGGGGCAAUCUUGGGGGGGAUUCUUCUCUAAUCUUUCAGAAACUUUGUCUGCGAACACUCUUUAAUGGACCAGAUCAGGAUUUGAGCGGAAGAACGAAUGUAACUUUAAGAGGCAUUUCAUCCUUCAUGAAGCCAUUCAGGAUUUUGAAUUGCAUAUGAGUGCUUGGCUCUUCCUUCUGUUCUAACUUCACAGAGAAUGCAGUUGUCUUGACUUCAGGUCUGUCUGUUCUGUUGGCAAGUAAAUGCAGUACUGUUCUGAUCCCGCUGCUAUUAGAAUGCAUUGUGAAACGACUGGAGUAUGAUUAAAAGUUGUGUUCCCCAAUGCUUGGAGUAGUGAUUGUUGAAGGAAAAAAUCCAGCUGAGUGAUAAAGGCUGAGUGUUGAGGAAAUUUCUGCAGUUUUAAGCAGUCGUAUUUGUGAUUGAAGCUGAGUACAUUUUGCUGGUGUAUUUUUAGGUAAAAUGCUUUUUGUUCAUUUCUGGUGGUGGGAGGGGACUGAAGCCUUUAGUCUUUUCCAGAUGCAACCUUAAAAUCAGUGACAAGAAACAUUCCAAACAAGCAACAGUCUUCAAGAAAUUAAACUGGCAAGUGGAAAUGUUUAAACAGUUCAGUGAUCUUUAGUGCAUUGUUUAUGUGUGGGUUUCUCUCUCCCCUCCCUUGGUCUUAAUUCUUACAUGCAGGAACACUCAGCAGACACACGUAUGCGAAGGGCCAGAGAAGCCAGACCCAGUAAGAAAAAAUAGCCUAUUUACUUUAAAUAAACCAAACAUUCCAUUUUAAAUGUGGGGAUUGGGAACCACUAGUUCUUUCAGAUGGUAUUCUUCAGACUAUAGAAGGAGCUUCCAGUUGAAUUCACCAGUGGACAAAAUGAGGAAAACAGGUGAACAAGCUUUUUCUGUAUUUACAUACAAAGUCAGAUCAGUUAUGGGACAAUAGUAUUGAAUAGAUUUCAGCUUUAUGCUGGAGUAACUGGCAUGUGAGCAAACUGUGUUGGCGUGGGGGUGGAGGGGUGAGGUGGGCGCUAAGCCUUUUUUUAAGAUUUUUCAGGUACCCCUCACUAAAGGCACCGAAGGCUUAAAGUAGGACAACCAUGGAGCCUUCCUGUGGCAGGAGAGACAACAAAGCGCUAUUAUCCUAAGGUCAAGAGAAGUGUCAGCCUCACCUGAUUUUUAUUAGUAAUGAGGACUUGCCUCAACUCCCUCUUUCUGGAGUGAAGCAUCCGAAGGAAUGCUUGAAGUACCCCUGGGCUUCUCUUAACAUUUAAGCAAGCUGUUUUUAUAGCAGCUCUUAAUAAUAAAGCCCAAAUCUCAAGCGGUGCUUGAAGGGGAGGGAAAGGGGGAAAGCGGGCAACCACUUUUCCCUAGCUUUUCCAGAAGCCUGUUAAAAGCAAGGUCUCCCCACAAGCAACUUCUCUGCCACAUCGCCACCCCGUGCCUUUUGAUCUAGCACAGACCCUUCACCCCUCACCUCGAUGCAGCCAGUAGCUUGGAUCCUUGUGGGCAUGAUCCAUAAUCGGUUUCAAGGUAACGAUGGUGUCGAGGUCUUUGGUGGGUUGAACUAUGUUAGAAAAGGCCAUUAAUUUGCCUGCAAAUUGUUAACAGAAGGGUAUUAAAACCACAGCUAAGUAGCUCUAUUAUAAUACUUAUCCAGUGACUAAAACCAACUUAAACCAGUAAGUGGAGAAAUAACAUGUUCAAGAACUGUAAUGCUGGGUGGGAACAUGUAACUUGUAGACUGGAGAAGAUAGGCAUUUGAGUGGCUGAGAGGGCUUUUGGGUGGGAAUGCAAAAAUUCUCUGCUAAGACUUUUUCAGGUGAACAUAACAGACUUGGCCAAGCUAGCAUCUUAGCGGAAGCUGAUCUCCAAUGCUCUUCAGUAGGGUCAUGAAGGUUUUUCUUUUCCUGAGAAAACAACACGUAUUGUUUUCUCAGGUUUUGCUUUUUGGCCUUUUUCUAGCUUAAAAAAAAAAAAAGCAAAAGAUGCUGGUGGUUGGCACUCCUGGUUUCCAGGACGGGGUUCAAAUCCCUGCGGCGUCUUUGCUUUGACUACUAAUCUGUCUUCAGGACUCUUUCUGUAUUUCUCCUUUUCUCUGCAGGUGCUAGUUCUUGGAGUUUUGGGGAGGUGGGAGGUAACAGCACAAUAUCUUUGAACUAUAUACAUCCUUGAUGUAUAAUUUGUCAGGAGCUUGACUUGAUUGUAUAUUCAUAUUUACACGAGAACCUAAUAUAACUGCCUUGUCUUUUUCAGGUAAUAGCCUGCAGCUGGUGUUUUGAGAAGCCCUACUGCUGAAAACUUAACAAUUUUGUGUAAUAAAAAUGGAGAAGCUCUAAAUUGUUGUGGUUCUUUUGUGAAUAAAAAAAUCUUGAUUGGGGAAAAAAGAUGGGUGUUCUGUGGGCUUGUUCUGUUAAAUCUGUGGUCUAUAAACACAGCACCCAUAAUUACAGCAUAAUCUUCAAGUAGGGUACGGACUUUGGGGGAUUGGUGCGAGGGUAGUGGGUGAGUGGCCUACUAAAAAGCCCAGUAACCCCCACAGGAAAAUAGGGAACUUCUUUUUAAGUAGCCUCCUUUCCACUAUUUAGUAAUUGGCUGUGAGCUGGGCUGGGGGAGAAAUGGGGCGGGGUGUGUGUGUCAUUGGAAAGCUCUCUUUUUUGUUUUUUUGAGACAGUCUCACUUUGUCCCCCAGGCUGGAGUGUAGUGGCAUGAUCUCUGCAAACUGCAACCUCCACUUCUGGGGUCCAAGUGGUUGUCCUGCUUCACCCUCCCUGUAGCUGGGACUACAGGUGCACACCACCACGCCUGGCUAAUUUUUGUAUUUUCAGUUAGAGACGUGGUUUUACCAUAUUGGCCAGGCUGGUCUCAAACUCCUGACCUCGUGUGAUCCACCCGCCUGGGCCUCUGAAAGUGCUGGGAUUACAGGUGUGAGCCACCAAGCCUGGCCGAUCCUUUUAAGUUUUUAAACCAGUUAAGCUCUUUGGUUCCCCCUCAGAGUCCCAAGGUCCUGGGUCACUCAGGAUCACAUUUUCCUUUAAUCAGUUGUCACUGGUCCCCUUUUGUCCCUUUGAACGUGCUGUGGGAUUAGUAGCAGCAUCUGGCUGUUGGAAGGACUGGCUGGGAUCUCAGGUGAAAUACCCUCCCUGGCCCUCCUUACCCUUAAGAUCUCCCUGAAAAGUCAGACCUUGCUUAUUGGAGUUUGAGAUGCAUUCUAGUAAACCCAGACCUACCAGAGAGAGGGACCCACGUCUGAAGAAUCUUCCAGCCUGGGGAACCUGUGACUGGCCACACCCUUAGCCUAAUGGAGGGGCCUCAGAAGCAGAACUACCUUUUUUUUUUUUUUUAAUGGUAUUACAUUUUGCAAAUGGAGAGGUAGACUCUGAUUGGGCCCCUUUUGACAACGCAGCAGAGCUGAGGUUUGAAUCCUAGUCAGUCAACACUUCAACCCCUAUGUUGCUGUUUCUUCAAUGUCUAGAAUGUUCUGAUAGAUGAAGCAAUGGCCCGGCAGGUCAGCAGCACACCAACCCCCAACCUACCCAGCCUGUAUAGGCCUUGGCCACAGGAGCUUUCUCUUCCCUUGAAGUGAUCUAAUGGGGGAUGGGGUAUCUGUCUCGCUGGUUAUGAAAGAAGCUGAGCUAGGUGCUCUCCUAAGUUGCUUAAGUGUCUUCUGAAUUGAUGCCCAGUCAGUUUCGUAUGGAGAAAGGUCUCUGUUUUUCCAAAGCAGAAGGUUCUGUGGAAGCACAAAUACUUUACUGGAGAGCAAAGGAGUACGAGUAGGAAUUGGGGGCCACGCACAGUGGCUCACGCCUAUAAUCCCAGGACUUUGGGAGGCCGAGGUGGGCAGAUCACCUGAGGUCAGGAGUUCGAGACCAGCCUGACCAACAUGGAGAAACCCCAUCUCUACUAAAAAUACAAAAUUAGCCGGGCGUGGUGGCGUAUGUCUGUAACCCCAGCUAUUCGAGAGGCUGAGGUAGGAGAAUCGCUUGGACCCGGGAGGCGGAGGUUGCAGUGAGCUGAGAUUGCGCCACUGCACUCCAGCCUGGGCAACAAGAGCGAAACUGUCUCAAAAAAAAAAAAAAAAGAAGAAGAAAGGCUGGGCACGGUGGCUCAAGCCUGUAAUCCCAGCACUUUGGGAGGCCGAGGCGGGCGGAUCACGAAGUCAGGAGAUUGAAACCAUCCUGGCUAACACGGUGAAACCCCGUCUCUACUACACACACACACACACACACACACACACACACACACACACACACAAUUUGCUGGGCGUGGUGGAGGGCGCCUGUAGUCCUAGCUACUCGUGAGGCUGAGGCAGGAGAAUGGCGUGAACCUGGGAGGC
This 8702-nucleotide long non-coding RNA is filed under the name Homo sapiens (human). Lineage: Eukaryota; Metazoa; Chordata; Mammalia; Primates; Hominidae. The record is from RNAcentral.